RNAcentral lists this non-coding RNA (23 nucleotides) under Arabidopsis thaliana (thale cress). The record is from RNAcentral. Lineage: Eukaryota; Viridiplantae; Streptophyta; Magnoliopsida; Brassicales; Brassicaceae.
AGAAUGUACCAGUGGUAAGCUAC